UGGGGAAUUUUGCACAAUGGGGGAAACCCUGAUGCAGCGACGCCGCGUGAUUUAGAAGGCCUUCGGGUUGUAAAAAUCUUUUCUAUGGGAAGAAAAUGACAGUACCAUAGGAAUAAGGACCGGCUAAUUACGUGCCAGCAGCCGCGGUAAUACGUAAGGUCCGAGCGUUGUCCGGAAUCAUUGGGCGUAAAGGGUACGUAGGCGGGUAAGCAAGUUAGAAGUGAAAUCCUGUAGCUCAACUACAGUAAGCUUUUAAAACUGCUCAUCUUGAGAUAUGGAAGGGAAAGUGGAAUUCCUAGUGUAGCGGUGAAAUGCGCAGAUAUUGGGAGGAAUACCGGUGGCGAAGGCGACUUUCUGGCCAUAAUCUGACGCUGAGGUACGAAAGCGUGGGUAGCAAACAGG
This 402-nucleotide ribosomal RNA is filed under the name Verrucomicrobiota bacterium. Its description in RNAcentral is "Verrucomicrobia bacterium partial 16S ribosomal RNA". It matches the Rfam family "Bacterial small subunit ribosomal RNA", at positions 355 to 776 of the family's 1533-position model. The record is from RNAcentral. Lineage: Bacteria; Pseudomonadati; Verrucomicrobiota.